This 75-nucleotide microRNA precursor is filed under the name Myotis davidii. Its description in RNAcentral is "mir-9229 microRNA precursor family". It matches the Rfam family "mir-9229 microRNA precursor family". The record is from Rfam by way of RNAcentral. Lineage: Eukaryota; Metazoa; Chordata; Mammalia; Chiroptera; Vespertilionidae.
GAGACACCCUUAUGGAGCAGGACUUCUUCAGUGGGGCUUUGGUGCUCACUGAGUCUGCCCCUAUAGUGUGUUGCU